GGACGAACGCUGGCGGCGUGCUUAACACAUGCAAGUCGAACGGAAAGGCCCUGCUUUUGUGGGGUGCUCGAGUGGCGAACGGGUGAGUAACACGUGAGUAACCUGCCCUUGACUUUGGGAUAACUUCAGGAAACUGGGGCUAAUACCGGAUAGGAGCUCCUGCUGCAUGGUGGGGGUUGGAAAGUUUCGGCGGUUGGGGAUGGACUCGCGGCUUAUCAGCUUGUUGGUGGGGUAGUGGCUUACCAAGGCUUUGACGGAUAGCCGGCCUGAGAGGGUGAACGGCCACAUUGGGACUGAGAUACGGCCCAGACUCCUACGGGAGGCAGCAGUGGGGAAUAUUGCACAAUGGGCGGAAGCCUGAUGCAGCAACGCCGCGUGCGGGAUGACGGCCUUCGGGUUGUAAACCGCUUUAGCCUGUGACGAAGCGUGAGUGACGGUAAUGGGUAAAGAAGCACCGGCUAACUACGUG
This 469-nucleotide ribosomal RNA is filed under the name uncultured bacterium. RNAcentral describes it as "partial 16S ribosomal RNA". It matches the Rfam family "Bacterial small subunit ribosomal RNA", at positions 27 to 507 of the family's 1533-position model. The record is from RNAcentral.